This 493-nucleotide ribosomal RNA is filed under the name uncultured bacterium. Its description in RNAcentral is "partial 16S ribosomal RNA". It matches the Rfam family "Bacterial small subunit ribosomal RNA", at positions 29 to 507 of the family's 1533-position model. The record is from RNAcentral.
ACGAACGCUGGCGGCGCGCUUAACACAUGCAAGUCGAACGGAAAGGCCUGCUUUCCCUUGUGGAUUGCGGGUACUCGAGUGGCGAACGGGUGAGUAACACGUGAGUGAUCUGCCCCCAACUUGGGUAUAAGCCUGGGAAACUGGGUCUAAUUCCCGAUAGGACUGCAGGGUGGUGCCUGUGGUGGAAAACGAUUUUCUAGUGGUUGGGGAUGAGCUCGCGGCCUAUCAGCUUGUUGGUGGGGUAAUGGCCUACCAAGGCGGCGACGGGUAGCCGGCCUGAGAGGGUGGACGGGCACAUUGGGACUGAGAUACGGCCCAGACUCCUACGGGAGGCAGCAGUGGGGAAUAUUGCACAAUGGGCGGAAGCCUGAUGCAGCGACGCCGCGGGGGGGAUGACGGCCUUCGGGUUGUAAACUCCUUUCGACCGCGAGGAAGCCACCUGGUUGGAAGGGUGGUGACGGUAGUGGUAGAAGAAGCACCGGCUAACUACGUG